RNA transcript from Schistocerca piceifrons (Central American locust), 4955 nucleotides. It is a transcript of the gene named galactosylgalactosylxylosylprotein 3-beta-glucuronosyltransferase S, with no coding region annotated. NCBI's taxonomy places the organism in Eukaryota, Metazoa, Arthropoda, Insecta, Orthoptera, Acrididae. The transcript has 8 exons. The record is from RefSeq and is a predicted model, not a curated record.
GGGUGGGGAAGUCAGGUGGCGGAGGGAGGAGAAGCAUUUGUUGACAUGUGAUAAGAAAUAUGUAACGAAAGAGCUAUAGAGCGGCAUACACUUUUUGUUGAAGGUUGAUAAUGUCUAACAAAGCUGGAAGCAAUGCUCCCACUUAAGAACAUGUUCCUUUUUACCAUUGCUAUGACAAUUAUAGUGUUAUAUUUUGUAUGGAGCUCUCAAGGCAAGGAGUUUGGGAGACAUUAUGAUCAUCGAGAACAUGUAUUCCUGUGCCACAUGUCAUUUGAGGACAGCAGGAAUAAAAAUGUGGAUAACAUACCCACAAUUUAUUUUAUUACACCCACAUAUCCAAGGAGGGAGCAAGCAGCAGAACUUACAAGGUUAGGGCAAACAUUGAUGCAUAUACCUAACCUGCAUUGGAUUGUUGCUGAUGAUAACAUGGUUUGCAGUGCAAUGAUAACAAAACUCUUGAAAAAAUUUGGUAUUCCUUUCACCCACAUUGCAAGCCCAAUGCCAGAGGUGUAUCGCAAAGCAGAUAUUGUUCCAAGAGGUGUAGCCAAUAGACGAGCUGCACUCAGCUGGAUAAGAAAGCAUGUGAAGAAUGGUGUGAUAUAUUUUGGAGAUGAUGAUAAUACAUUUGAUUUAGAGCUCUUUGAAGAAAUUCGUGGUACGAAGCGAGUUUCAAUGUUCCCAGUUGGUCUCAUUGGUGACUAUGCAGUUAGUUCUCCUGUGUUAAGAAAGGGAAGAGUUAUAGGAUUUUUUGAUUCAUGGCCAUCCAAGAGAAAGUUUCCAGUAGACAUGGCUGGAUUUGCUGUGAAUGUUGAGUUUUUAUUGGAACAUCCAAAUGCAACCAUGCCAUACAAAGCUGGAUAUGAAGAGGACCACUUUCUUCGAAGUCUUCACUUAAAAUUGGAGGAUAUCGAACCAAAAGGAAACUCGUGCACUCAGGUUCUUGUGUGGCAUACACAGACUACGAAGAAAUCCCGAUCUGUGAUAAAAAUUGGAAGCUAUCUCGAUACAAACUUGAAACUACUACUAGAGGAACUUCGUUAUCUUGGAAUGGGUGAUGUUAGUUCAACAAAAGGGGCAGCAGCCUACUUAACAAAGGAUGGGCACACACAGACGAUAUAACCAUUCCUAAUGUGUUUGCUAACUUUUGACACAUUAUCUGCACAAAGUUAUGACUGCAAUAACACUCUGUUGCAGUCUUAUAUCAUAAAUAGUGGCUCAAUCUAGAACUUGUCAUUUAAUGUAGCGGUAGACAAUAUUUAUGAUUAAAUAGGAUGACAUUCUCAUCGAUUGAAGUAUGGUACUGAAUUUGUACAAAUAUUAUUUAUUAAAAAGAAGUAGAUUUAUUCCAGUUUAGAUAUUUGAAAUGGGUGAUAAAUUAAGUAAUUAUAAGAUUUUUGAGAAUUCAGAAUAUUUCAUAUAUCUGAUUUUGAUCGUUUUUCUAGUCAUACAUUUCAGCGGCAAGGAGUUCUGAUAAAGAUAUUGUUCAUUGGUAGUCAUGCUUUUGCUGAGGGAUCUACCGACCUAUUUCAUAAGAAAAUAUAGUGAUUAACUAUAGCUGCAAUAUUAAACUUCACAAAGACAUUUGAGAUUAUAUAUUUUAAGUAGACUGUUAAGUUAAUUUAGCUUUUGGUGCAACUUUUAUCUUUCAUAGGCAUUUGGGGUAAAAAAGAAAAAGAAAUUUAUUUCUGUGUGAGUCAAUUCAUACAACAUUUGCAGUGGGAUGAUGAACAUAGAAAUCAGAAUUAAAGGAGUUAACACGGGGUUUACAUCUGUCCUUGUAUUGCAUAAAUAUUAAGUUUAAUAGUUCCACACAAGAACAUAGAACAAAACGUUGGCAACAAUAUCAGACAUCAUACCAGGAUUUAUCAUAACUGUCUAAGGGAAAACACAGUAUUUUUCAAUCAGGUAUGGAAUAUCAACUAAAACAAUAGCAUUUUCUCUUUAAACAUUGUGUGAAAACAUGUCUCUGUUUGCAGUGCCUCACAAGUUCCUGCAUCUACUUAAUGAUUGUAUGAUUAAAGCACAGUCAGGAUUUCUAUGUCCUUACACCAUUAAAUUAGGAUUAAACUAUUUAUUUAUAUGUACAUUUAGUUUUAUAGCUCUUAUUAUUGAAGCUUUAAUACUGUUUGCAAUACAGUUGGUUAUUGAUACACCCAGGACUUGGGAUUUGAAAGAGAUAACUACUUCACUUAGCUUUCAGAAAAAGCAUUUAGUCUUCAUUUUGAGGUUUAAAAAUAGGGUCUCAUUACCAUUCUGCAAGAAUUAAGAAACACAGAUUUGUAUUGUGUAUAAAUAACGUAAUUUAAUAUCCUGACAAAGACACGGUAAAACUUGUGUGGGAUGAUGUCUUAAUGGUAGGGAAACAAAACUAUAUUUCUAUGUUGAAUGCAAUAUCGUAUGUUGGUUGUGUUGAGAUGUAAGAUUUAAAACAAAAUUGUCAAUAAGCACAAGAUUAAUACCUCUUACUGCUAAAUUACUUUAUCAGACGUUGGUACAGUACGAGCAUUGUAAUUGGCAGGGGAUGUUAGAAGUGAAUUUAAGCGAUUCUGCCUACCCCUUCACUCUCAGAAUAUCCCUUUUUAUUGCCAUUGUCAAGGACGUUAAACCCAAAUCUUAAUUCCUUGUGGUUUGACAAAGAGAAAGUAACAUUCAAAAUAUAAUGAAAUUGACAUAUCAUUUUGUGUAUUUCCAGUGUGGUUUGGUGUCUAAAACUUCAUUAGUCUAGGAUUAAAGCCUUUCAGUAGUCCUGGGGUGUUUUUUCACCUUUGCUUCUUUCACCUCCUGCAGUGAUUUGGAAGUAUGAAAAAUACCAAGUUGCUCUAUGGUUUGGAAUCCAUGUUAAACUGUAGGACCUCUAUAGCUGACCAAGUCCGCUCAAAGGUCAGAGAAAGGCAAGAGCUUAGCACCUGCAAUAGCACCAUACCCAGUGUGAAGUACUAUGAUUUUGAAAUCACAUUUACAUUUUUCAAACUACAAGUUCAGCUCAGAAUUCUUGCUACAAAGCAACUUGUCAUAUGUUGUAAGGUUCCCUUGUGAGUGUUUUUAUUUCCUUUAGUUAAUUUUGAUUUAUCUUUGGCUCACAUCUGUUGCUGAUUUAUCUCAGCAUCAUUACAACAAAGUAAGUUUAAACAGUAGUAUUUUUCAAGUACGUGAUAGGAUUUAAUUUGACUGCCUAGGCUGUGCAUAAUGUCAUCUGUAUUAACUGUAAAUCUUCUGCUGUUUCACAGUUAACAUAUUUUAAAAUUUUUUAUUUCAUGCUCACACUGUACUAUUACUGUCUGCCAUAUUAUUUGUCAUGUAGUAUUAGGUUGCUGCGAUUUUAAAUUGUGUCUUCCAUAUUUGACUUCAUUUUCUGUACGUUUGAACCAUUUGUACAAAUUAUGCAGUUUUCAAGCUCUUAUGUAUUUACUGUUUUUCAUACCAGCUUUAUGCUUUUUAAAUUAUAAUUUUUAUUUACUGUAGAUUACAUUUCAUUUUUGUAUAUUUAUUGAUAACAUAAUUCAUAUUCUGUUAAUGCUAAUAGUAAUACUUGUACUAUUGGAAGCAACAGGAUUUGUUUCAUUAUUACUCAAUAAAUUGCUAAGCUGUAAUUGUGAAAAUGAACGGCUGCACAAACAUUUCUUAACAUAUGAGCUGAAAUAACUGAAAUAAUAGCCAGAGGACAGAGAAAAUACUAACUGCUCUUGAUAACAUAAAGGCGAUGUCAGUAUUUUAUCAACAUAUUCAGAGUGUUUUCUGAAUAUCAUUCAAUCCUCAUGUAGCUGAAGACUUUUACUGUGAAUAGUAAAAUGUUCACCACAGUUUUGUAUAAAUGUUUCUAUUUUGAAUGUUGAAAAGUUUCCCAGGUAAUUAUACAUAUUGAUGUCACAUAUCGACAGUUAAUAUCAAGUUACUGAAUUUAGGAUAAUGUAAAAAGAGUAGCAGCCACUAUGUAAGUUUGUAAUCAGUGUUUGCAAUUUAUUGCCUGUAUGAUGUGGGGAAUUAAACUUUAUGUUGAAAAUUUUCCCCAAGAAAUUAUACAUAUUGAUGUUACAUAUACAUUCUUAACACCUGGUUAUUGAAUUCAGGAUCUGUUAAAAAUAGUUGCCUCAGUGUUUGAAAAUUAUUGCAUACAUUACUUUCCCAUGUUAAGUGUUGAACAUUGACUAUAUUUAAUCACAUUAGUGGAGUAGGGGCAAUAACAGCUGUGAUAAAUCCAAAACUUUUAACUUUGAUCUUUUUUUUUUUUUUUGUACUAAGUAUUUUUCAGCUAAUGGAGUUGGUACAUUGUUGUAGGUUUAAUAUAUUCACAAUGCUCACAAUUACUUUUAUGGAUACUGUCUUGUAAAAAGAAAUGUGUAGUGAAAAAAUAUUUAUAUGGAAAAGUUAAGGAAAUUGUUCGCAGUAUCAUUGUUCACAAUAUACUGUGUAUUGAUAAUAUAAACUGCAUUUUGGCACAUGUUUGUUGCACAAAUCCCCUUCAGCCUCAAGUUCCUUCAUUAAAUGAAAAGACACAAAGCAGUUCAUUAAAAUGAUGGUACUGAUAGAAUUAAAGCUUUAAUUAUUAUGAGAAUUGUUUCUUAUUUUACAUGGUUUAGUGAAAAUGUGUGCAACACUAGAUGGGACAAACACAGCAGUAACUGAGAUAAUCAUUAAUGAGACUCUACAUGUAAAUUUUAUGUACUGCUUAUGGUGAAAUAUGGAAAUAAUAUUCCAUUGCUAUUUGCCUUAAAAAGUGCCAUUCAAUGUGUGUGUGCCAUAAUGGUUCUUCAGUCUUCAAAAUGUGUGUUUAAGGCUGUGUGGAGUUGGAGGCUAUUUGAAAAAUAUUGUAGCAAUGCAUUCUUGUAAAUUUUUUAUGUAAAUGACAGUUAUGAAAUAUUUAUUUACUUGUAAAUAUUGCUCACAUGCAAUAUAUUUGCAAAGUAGUGAACACUACAACCAUUUGUUAAAAUGUUAUACAUUCCACAUUGACAAUA